This 162-nucleotide ribosomal RNA is filed under the name uncultured bacterium. RNAcentral describes it as "partial 16S rRNA". It matches the Rfam family "Bacterial small subunit ribosomal RNA", at positions 355 to 511 of the family's 1533-position model. The record is from RNAcentral.
UAGGGAAUCUUCCACAAUGGCGAAAGCCUGAUGGAGCAACGCCGCGUGUGUGAUGAAGGGUUUCGGCUCGUAAACGCUGUUGUAAGAGAAGAAUGACAUUGAGAGUAACUGUUCAAUGUGUGACGGUAUCUUACCAGAAAGGAACGGCUAAAUACGUGCUAG